CCGCCUGAGAGGCCGGCGCCUGCCCGGGCGGGCGGGACCCGCACUGACCCCGCAGGGGGCGAGGCGGGGCUGAGAGGGGCGAACGCAGAGCCAGACCCCCCGCCGCCGCAGGCCGCCCACCUCCAGGCAGGGCUUCGUGCCAGACCCGGCUGUAGUUAUCAGCUGGGUGGAGGGCAGUGCCAGCUGCAGGCGUCCCCGAGGCGCAAACACCACCCCUGGCCCCAGCCUCCUUCCCUGCAGCCUUCUACCUUCUACCGGAAACAGAGCCACGGGGAGCUAAAGGAGGAUCCAGCAACAGUGGAGGCAGGGACUCCACCUCAGAGGCAGGGCCGCACUGAAGCCCAGCUCACCUACCUGCUGGGUGACCUUGGGCAAGUGACUUCUCUAUGCCUCAGUUGUUGCAUCUGUAAAAUUGAGAUAGUAAUAGUAUUCACCUCACUGAGUGCUGCGGUUUGGUGCCUGGCACAUAAUAGGGACUUCAUAGACAGUUGUUACUAUUAUUACCUCUUCCCCCACAUUUGGGGUUUGGCAGAGGGAUGUAUUGGCUACAUGGUCAUUAAGGAUCUGUUAAGCACCUCCUAUGCACGAGGGAGAUCACAUGGUAUGGUCCAAGAGUCUUGGAGUUAGAUGUGGGGUUGAAUCCUGGCCCUGUCACUUCAUAGCUGUGUGUGACCUUGUAAAAUUCUGUCUCCUCUCUGAGCUGAAGUUCCCCCACAGGAAAAUAGGGACCGUAAUGCCCAUCUUCCGGGGCCAAUGCUGGAUUCAAUGAGAUAAUGUACAGGGAGUGCCCAGGGCAGUUCUCAGCACACAAUAGUGCCUCUCAGUAAAUAAGAGACGCAGGAUGGAGAGGACAGGCUCAGUUUCUGCUACAGAAGAGCUCUGGGCAGAGCAGCUCAGAACACUUAUCACACCUUUCUCCUUGACCCUCACCUCUCUGGAAGAUUAGAAGCAGAAGAUUUAUUGGAUCAACUUCUCAGCUGUGGAAUCUGAGCAAACAGAAGGGAAGUGGCUGAGGGAGGCCUCAGACCAGCUGUAUCCCUGGACCAGAGGUCACAGCGCUGGCUAAGGAAACCUUCCAUGCAGGAGUGCUGUGAGCUGAGCAGUGCAUAAGAAAAGAGUGUUUGUGGGAAUCAGCAUUUUACCACCUGGCAGACCUGCCUGGGCUGUAGCAGAGCCUCCCCACUCAGUGGACAAGGGACAGGAGGGAUCAAAGGUACAGCCACUAUCCUGGGCUUUGCACAAACAUUGCCUCGCCUCCUUCUCCUGGUACCCCCAUGUUAUCCUUUCUGAACAAAGAGGCAACUGAGGCCCCAAGAGCCCAAAGCUGCAUGACAAUGACGGUGAAUCAGGACUGGAACCCAGACCCCCUGCCUCCCUACCCACAGCUCUUUCAGCUCCCUUUCCAAAUAUAUCAGCUUGCUGCCCUCUGGCUGUCCUGUUUUCUACCCAAAACUAGGACCUCGUCCACCUUCUCAAGCCCAGUCACCCCCUUACUCCCACUGAAGCCCUGGAAUCUUAGGCCUAGUGGGGUUGCAGGUUCCAGAGUACUUACAUCCUUAAAGGACAUAAACAUCUGUAGCCUUCAGUCACCCCCACAAUUGCCUAUGCAUGUUAGAUGUGUCUACUAAAAACAACCACUAUAAUAGUUGUAGCUGCCUUUAUUGCUUAUUCUGUUUUAGGGUUUACGCUACCUUCUCUUUUUAAUAUAAUGAUAUUUGUCAUUAAUUGAAUUAUUUUACAUCACACCAGACAUCGUAUAAUCCAAACCAGGCCAGGAGCUGUGGGCUCUGUAUUACAGCACCCACCCCACCAGAGGCAGCUGACAGGCCA
RNAcentral lists this long non-coding RNA (1830 nucleotides) under Homo sapiens (human). Its description in RNAcentral is "HSALNT0394228". Lineage: Eukaryota; Metazoa; Chordata; Mammalia; Primates; Hominidae. The record is from RNAcentral.